GAUAUCAUUAAGGACACAAAAUAAGGAUGGAGAAUUUGAGUGAAUAUUCUAGUCCCAGCUCUUCCUUGAAUUUGCCUUGUAAGUUUAGUUUCCUUAUUUGUAAAAUGAAAUAUUGAACUACAUGGCAUCUGCUACGGUCUGAGUGUUUUUGUCUCUGCCCCCUGCAAAUUCAUGUGUUGACACUUAAUCCCUAAUGCAGUAGCAUUAAGGGGUGGGGUCUUCAGAAGGUGAUUAGAUCACGAUGGCUCCACCCUCAUGAAUGAGAUUAGGACCCUUAUAAAAGAGGCCUGAGAGGACGCCGCUUUUUAAGCCCUCCCGAUGUGUGAGGACACACAGGAGCCACCACCCAGAGGAACAGGCCUUUAGCGGACACUGAAUCUGCUGGUGCCUUCAUCUUGGAAUUUCCAGACUCCAGAACUCUGCAGUUACCAUCCUCAAAUACAAAAGUAAUUGAUACUCAGCAAUGAAAGCUGCAUGUGCAUGUAGGGGAGAGAAGGAGGUUUCACCAGACUGACAAAUGGAGUCAUGGUUCUGGGAAGGAGCAGGGUGUUGGGUGCACAUUUGUCACCUGGGAAUACUACCAGCAAGCCUCAUAUUUUUUCUGCAAUAAAUGCUGGAAAGGAAAAAGAAAUGCUGAAAAUGAUGAAGUAAUUCCAAUUCUGCUGAUAGAGACCUGGAAAUGCACUAGGGAAAAAUGACAAGAGUGUAACACACUGCUGCUGAUUAUGUCAUAAUGAUUAUUUUAUGCAGUUUGAAGAAGACUCACUGUUCUAAAGAACCAGCAUCCAUUUCCAGGAAAGAGCAGGGAUUCUCCAUCCAUACCUCCAUGGGAUGAACCACAUUGAAAAUAAUGAUUUCCUUCUAAUAGCUUACUCUACAUUAUAUAAAGAAUUCCUUGGGAUUCUAAAAAAACCCUAAUAAUAUAGUAAUAAUAACAACAGAGGUUUGUUUUUGCUAUUUGUAGUCUAAUAUUCAGAUUGUGAGCAGCUGUUUUGGAAGGCAAGAUGAGUGAAUAGAUGUGAAGUCGUCUUAGAAAUGUCCAGGCUUCCAAAAGAAAUUUCACUUUUAAAAGAAAAUAGCCUAAUGUGAACCACAUUAGAAUCAGCACAUCUAAUCCUACGGAGAAAAAGUGACCAUGGCUGUCUACACAUAUAGGCAGGUCAUUCAAGCUCAUUCAAAAAUUCCACUUUCACUGGUGGUCUGUCUGUGUCCACAUGGUGACAAAUGGCCCCGGCAGGGUUUUUGAGGUGUUGGCACCACCAGUGAGUGCCAGAUGGAAUGUGGUGAAAGUUCUGAUUUGUACCUUUCAGACUAAAGGUACUUUCCAGAAUGGACGGGUCCUUCUGGCUGCCUUUUGUAAGUGCAGCCACAGGUAUUCUGUUGAAGCCUGUGGGUGAGAAAGACAUAAACAGGUGCUAUAAAUUUGUCAGACCAGGAAGCCACAGGCCGUUUAGUAAAUGGUAAACCCAAUGGCCCAAAAGAACAAAGGGGUCUCUUUUCAUCAGAAUGAUCAGGCUCAUUCAACAAAUAUUUAUUGAGCACCCACUUUCUGCCAGAUGGAAGAGCCACUGACAAGGCCUCUUAUUUAAAGAGUGCCUGAAGUGAGGAAGCAAACCCCCAAAUCAUCUGGGAUGGUAUGAACUGAACUCUGGACCGCAACAUGAUGGAAAGGAGGAGCUGGGGUCCCAAGGGCAGUCCAGACAACCUGAACCUGUGACACUCACCCUGCCCACACACUCUCAGAGCUGCAGCUUUCACGGGGGUGACAUGAAUGCUUGUAAAUGAGCUUGCUGAAUGGGAGACCAAGAACGAUGAUAUUGAGCUGUUACUACAUGCCAGACAUUUAACCCUUUCAUCCAGGUUAUCUCAAUCAUUCCUUACAGAAAGGCUUUUGAGAUGUCCUUGCAACUGGAGGUGCCAUAUGAUACAGUUCUGCCCAAAGACAAGAAAGUGAAUGUCUGUUGAGGGCUUCCUAUAAGGCCAAUACAUACAGGUGUUCCCAACAACAGAUGGAAAAGCUCCUGCCAUCCUGGGCAGCACAUGGUAGAGGGGAGGCAGCCACUGACCUUCUGGGUAAUCUGUCAUGACGACCUGAUAGCAGACCGGCAGGAUGCUCCAAACUGUCACCAAAGAUGUCACGAGUGCUUCUGAGGCUCAAGAAUCUAAUUUUCCUUACUUAAAAUAAAAGGACUGAAUGCUGGAUGAAUAACCCUUUUUUUCACCCCCUAAACAAAUCUCAUAGGGAAUCCUAAUAUAUAAAAUAACCAAAGUGCAAGCCCUGGGUUAAAGCCGAGGAUGGGUGCUAGAGAUGGGCUAGAGCAUGUCUGCUUAGCUUUCUUCCACUAUCCCAGCCAUUUAAAGACCACAAGUUAGCUUCCUGGAAUUCAGUUUGACAAACACUUAGGCUAGAUCAUUGUCAGGGGACCUUCAUUUCAAGCUCCAUGGAGUAGGUCGGGGACUCUGCCUUGGUCAUCCCUGAAUCCCCACAGCCAUGGUUCUAGCACACAGUAAGCACUAAAAACCAAAACCCAAAAACCCGUAUGAUAAUGUAUGUCUACAGACAUUCGAUGAAUGGAUGAAUAAAAGAUUUUUCAGAUACCAUGAGAUGUGUUUAUCUAUUUAAGAUUAUAACUCCAUUGACCAAUAGAGUUGGGUUUUAAGCUAUAACCCCCCAAUCUGACCAU
Molecule: long non-coding RNA, 2684 nt
Filed under: Homo sapiens (human)
Lineage: Eukaryota; Metazoa; Chordata; Mammalia; Primates; Hominidae
Description: HSALNT0033227
Source: RNAcentral